CCUACGGGAGGCAGCAGUGGGGAAUCUUGCGCAAUGGGCGAAAGCCUGACGCAGCAACGCCGCGUGCGGGAAGAAGGCCUUAGGGUUGUAAACCGCUUUCAGUAGGAACGAAAAUGACGGUACCUGCAGAAGGAGGUGCGGCCAACUACGUGCCAGCAGCCGCGGUGACACGUAGGCACCAAGCGUUGUCCGGAUUUAUUGGGCGUAAAGAGCUCGUAGGCGGUUCAGUAAGUCGGGUGUGAAAACUCUGGGCUUAACCCAGAGCCGCCACUCGAUACUGCUGUGACUUGAGUUCGGUAGGGGAGCAGGGAAUUCCUAGUGUAGCGGUGAAAUGCGCAGAUAUUAGGAGGAACACCGGUGGCGAAGGCGCUGCUCUGGGCCGAUACUGACGCUGAGGAGCGAAAGCGUGGGUAGCAAACAGGAUUAGAUACCCUGGUAGUCCACGCCGUAAACGUUGGGCACUAGGUGUGGGUUCCAACCAACGGAAUCCGCGCCGUCGCUAACGCAUUAAGUGCCCGCCUGGGGAGUACGGCGGCAACGCUAAACUCAAAGGAAUUGACGG
Molecule: ribosomal RNA, 562 nt
Filed under: uncultured bacterium
Lineage: Bacteria
Description: bacterial SSU rRNA
Rfam family: Bacterial small subunit ribosomal RNA
Source: RNAcentral